This 208-nucleotide long non-coding RNA is filed under the name Nicotiana benthamiana. Its description in RNAcentral is "long non-coding RNA (NBEN_LNC033893)". The record is from RNAcentral. Lineage: Eukaryota; Viridiplantae; Streptophyta; Magnoliopsida; Solanales; Solanaceae.
GGUGAGCAGCAACCUUUACAAAUCGAAGGAGCUAUUUUAUCAACUAGUGUAGUCUUAAAAGGAGCAACAAGAAGAACUCGGAAACUGGAAGCUGAUGCAGAAAAGAUCGAACAACAACAAUUUACACAAAAUGGUGAAGGAAAUCAAAUUGAGAAUCAGGAAAAUGAUAAUGAAUCCAAUCAUGUUUCUAUGGACAAUACUGUAGCUA